Molecule: ribosomal RNA, 222 nt
Filed under: uncultured bacterium
Lineage: Bacteria
Description: partial 16S ribosomal RNA
Rfam family: Bacterial small subunit ribosomal RNA
Source: RNAcentral
GCAAGUGUAGCUCUUCCCUCCGGGGAGGAGCGGCGGACGGGUUAGUAACGCGUGGGAACAUGCCCUUUACUAAGGAAUAGCCUCGGGAAACUGAGAGUAAUACCUUAUACGCCCUUCGGGGGAAAGAUUUAUCGGUAUAGGAUUGGCCCGCGUAAGAUUAGAUAGUUGGUGGGGUAAUGGCCUACCAAGUCGACGAUCUUUAGCUGGUUUGAGAGGAUGAGC